Non-coding RNA from Physcomitrium patens, 665 nucleotides. The record is from RefSeq and is a predicted model, not a curated record. NCBI's taxonomy places the organism in Eukaryota, Viridiplantae, Streptophyta, Bryopsida, Funariales, Funariaceae.
UGACGCCGCACUCCCCCACCCUAUAAGGCUACCUCCGCCCUGUCCAGUUGCCAACACAUUUGCGAAUCCCCCCUCCUUUUUCCCACUGGGUGUCAACACCCAAAACCCGAGUUGCUGAGCUCCGGGUUUCAGUUCCUUUCGGCGCGCAUCGCAUGACCGAUCACCUGCCUUGGGCUGGUGCUAGCAGGUCGUCCGUGAUGGUCACCCACCAAAGAUUUGGCAUUCAACCGCAUUAUUGUAAUGCUCGAAGUCUUUCUGAUAGAGUGGUAAUGCGUCGUGGCCAACCGUGCUCGCAUUUGCUGCAGCGUGGCCUACGUGUGCCAACUGGAAAUCAACCCUCACUUUGACCUCAUAGUUAUAUUUACUGCACGUGGAAAGCUAACAGCAGAGUAUAUAUCAUGCAUUGUUACAACUUAUGAAAAGUAAAUCUAUUUGAACAGGGAUCAAACGUAGUGUCAACACCAUGACGAAUACACUGACAAUGCUAAGGUAUUGUACAUUCACCUAGAACGUGAGGAAACACUUUACACUAAGUGCUAGAAUUAUUUUAUUACAACAGACACUUAGAGUCAAAUCUAUAUUGUACGCUAAAAGCUAUUGUACCUUACCGGAACAAUAGAGGUUGAUACGAUGCUAUCUGAACCCAGCAUUUGAUUUCCUUCAAA